This 467-nucleotide ribosomal RNA is filed under the name uncultured bacterium. RNAcentral describes it as "partial 16S ribosomal RNA". It matches the Rfam family "Bacterial small subunit ribosomal RNA", at positions 28 to 507 of the family's 1533-position model. The record is from RNAcentral.
GAUGAACGCUGGCGGCGUGCUUAACACAUGCAAGUCGAACGGAAAGGCCCAAGUUUGCUUGGGUACUCGAGUGGCGAACGGGUGAGUAACACGUGGGUGAUCUGCCCUGCACUUCGGGACAAGCCUGGGAAACUGGGUCUAAUACCGGCGAGGACCACUUCUUGGAUGGUGUGGUGGAAAGUUUUUUCGGUGUGGGAUGAGUUCGCGGCCUAUCAGCUUGUUGGUGGGGUAAUGGCCUACCAAGGCGUCGCCGGGUAGCCGGACUGAGAGGGUGUACGGCCACAUUGGGACUGAGAUACGGCCCAGGCGCCUACGGGAGGAAGCAGUGGGGAAUAUUGCACAAUGGGCGCAAGCCUGAUGCAGCGACGCCGCGUGGGGGAUGACGGCCUUCGGGUUGUAAACUGCUUUCGCUAGGGACGAAGCGUUUUGUGACGGUACCUGGAGAAGAAGCACCGGCUAACUACGUG